This 72-nucleotide transfer RNA is filed under the name Anaerolineaceae bacterium. RNAcentral's name for it is "tRNA-Lys". It matches the Rfam family "tRNA". From Rfam's summary of the family: Transfer RNA (tRNA) molecules are approximately 80 nucleotides in length. RNAcentral also lists the same sequence under 1 other name. Lineage: Bacteria; Bacillati; Chloroflexota; Anaerolineae; Anaerolineales; Anaerolineaceae. The record is from RNAcentral.
GGGCGCGUAGCUCAAUGGUAGAGCAGCGGCCUUUUAAGCCGUUGGUUCAGAGUUCGAUCCUCUGCGCGCUCA